GGAUAACCUACCCUUAGGACUGGGAUAACCUUGGGAAACUGAGGAUAAUACUGGAUAGGCAAUUAUUCCUGGAAUGGUUUUUUGUUUAAAUGUUUUUUCGCCUAAGGAUGGGUCUGCGGCCGAUUAGGUAGUUGGUUAGGUAACGGCUUACCAAGCCAUUGAUCGGUACGGGUUGUGAGAGCAAGAGCCCGGAGAUGGAACCUGAGACAAGGUUCCAGGCCCUACGGGGUGCAGCAGGCGCGAAACCUCCGCAAUGUGAGAAAUCGCGACGGGGGGAUCCCAAGUGCCAUUCUUAACGGGAUGGCUUUUCAUUAGUGUAAAGAGCUUUUGGAAUAAGGGCUGGGCAAGACCGGUGCCAGCCGCCGCGGUAACACCGGCAGCUCUAGUGGUAGCAGUUUUUAUUGGGCCUAAAGCGUCCGUAGCCGGUUUAAUAAGUCUCUGGUGAAAUCCUGUAGCUUAACUGUGGGAAUUGCUGGAGAUACUAUUAGACUUGAGACCGGGAGAGGUUAGAGGUACUCCCAGGGUAGAGGUGAAAUUCUGUAAUCCUGGGAGGACCGCCUGUUGCGAAGGCGUCUAACUGGAACGGUUCUGACGGUGAGGGACGAAAGUUAGGGGCGCGAACCGGAUUAGAUACCCGGGUAGUCCUAACCGUAAACGAUGCGGACUUGGUGUUGGGGUGGCUUUGAGCUGCUCCAGUGC
Molecule: ribosomal RNA, 699 nt
Filed under: uncultured archaeon
Lineage: Archaea
Description: bacterial SSU rRNA
Rfam family: Archaeal small subunit ribosomal RNA
Source: RNAcentral